Molecule: ribosomal RNA, 398 nt
Filed under: uncultured bacterium
Lineage: Bacteria
Description: partial 16S ribosomal RNA
Rfam family: Bacterial small subunit ribosomal RNA
Source: RNAcentral
AUACGUAGGGUGCGAGCGUUGUCCGGAAUUACUGGGCGUAAAGAGCUCGUAGGUGGUUUGUCGCGUCGUCUGUGAAAUUCCGGGGCUUAACUCCGGGCGUGCAGGCGAUACGGGCAUAACUUGAGUACUGUAGGGGAGACUGGAAUUCCUGGUGUAGCGGUGAAAUGCGCAGAUAUCAGGAGUAACACCGGUGGCGAAGGCGGGUCUCUGGGCAGUAACUGACGCUGAGGAGCGAAAGCAUGGGUAGCGAACAGGAUUAGAUACCCUGGUAGUCCAUGCCGUAAACGGUGGGCGCUAGGUGUAGGGGUCUUCCACGACUUCUGUGCCGUAGCUAACGCAUUAAGCGCCCCGCCUGGGGAGUACGGCCGCAAGGCUAAAACUUAAAGGAAUUGACGGGG